This 1536-nucleotide ribosomal RNA is filed under the name Klebsiella pneumoniae. Its description in RNAcentral is "bacterial SSU rRNA". It matches the Rfam family "Bacterial small subunit ribosomal RNA". The record is from RNAcentral. Lineage: Bacteria; Pseudomonadati; Pseudomonadota; Gammaproteobacteria; Enterobacterales; Enterobacteriaceae.
UUGAAGAGUUUGAUCAUGGCUCAGAUUGAACGCUGGCGGCAGGCCUAACACAUGCAAGUCGAGCGGUAGCACAGAGAGCUUGCUCUCGGGUGACGAGCGGCGGACGGGUGAGUAAUGUCUGGGAAACUGCCUGAUGGAGGGGGAUAACUACUGGAAACGGUAGCUAAUACCGCAUAACGUCGCAAGACCAAAGUGGGGGACCUUCGGGCCUCAUGCCAUCAGAUGUGCCCAGAUGGGAUUAGCUAGUAGGUGGGGUAAUGGCUCACCUAGGCGACGAUCCCUAGCUGGUCUGAGAGGAUGACCAGCCACACUGGAACUGAGACACGGUCCAGACUCCUACGGGAGGCAGCAGUGGGGAAUAUUGCACAAUGGGCGCAAGCCUGAUGCAGCCAUGCCGCGUGUGUGAAGAAGGCCUUCGGGUUGUAAAGCACUUUCAGCGGGGAGGAAGGCGUUAAGGUUAAUAACCUUGGCGAUUGACGUUACCCGCAGAAGAAGCACCGGCUAACUCCGUGCCAGCAGCCGCGGUAAUACGGAGGGUGCAAGCGUUAAUCGGAAUUACUGGGCGUAAAGCGCACGCAGGCGGUCUGUCAAGUCGGAUGUGAAAUCCCCGGGCUCAACCUGGGAACUGCAUUCGAAACUGGCAGGCUAGAGUCUUGUAGAGGGGGGUAGAAUUCCAGGUGUAGCGGUGAAAUGCGUAGAGAUCUGGAGGAAUACCGGUGGCGAAGGCGGCCCCCUGGACAAAGACUGACGCUCAGGUGCGAAAGCGUGGGGAGCAAACAGGAUUAGAUACCCUGGUAGUCCACGCCGUAAACGAUGUCGAUUUGGAGGUUGUGCCCUUGAGGCGUGGCUUCCGGAGCUAACGCGUUAAAUCGACCGCCUGGGGAGUACGGCCGCAAGGUUAAAACUCAAAUGAAUUGACGGGGGCCCGCACAAGCGGUGGAGCAUGUGGUUUAAUUCGAUGCAACGCGAAGAACCUUACCUGGUCUUGACAUCCACAGAACUUUCCAGAGAUGGAUUGGUGCCUUCGGGAACUGUGAGACAGGUGCUGCAUGGCUGUCGUCAGCUCGUGUUGUGAAAUGUUGGGUUAAGUCCCGCAACGAGCGCAACCCUUAUCCUUUGUUGCCAGCGGUUCGGCCGGGAACUCAAAGGAGACUGCCAGUGAUAAACUGGAGGAAGGUGGGGAUGACGUCAAGUCAUCAUGGCCCUUACGACCAGGGCUACACACGUGCUACAAUGGCAUAUACAAAGAGAAGCGACCUCGCGAGAGCAAGCGGACCUCAUAAAGUAUGUCGUAGUCCGGAUUGGAGUCUGCAACUCGACUCCAUGAAGUCGGAAUCGCUAGUAAUCGUAGAUCAGAAUGCUACGGUGAAUACGUUCCCGGGCCUUGUACACACCGCCCGUCACACCAUGGGAGUGGGUUGCAAAAGAAGUAGGUAGCUUAACCUUCGGGAGGGCGCUUACCACUUUGUGAUUCAUGACUGGGGUGAAGUCGUAACAAGGUAACCGUAGGGGAACCUGCGGUUGGAUCACCUCCUU